AGUGAACGCUGGCGGCAGGCCUAACACAUGCAAGUCGAGCGGCAGCGGGUCCCCGCGAGGGGAUGCCGGCGAGCGGCGGACGGGUGAGGAACACAUCGGAAUCUGCCUGGUUGUGGGGGAUAACGUAGGGAAACUUACGCUAAUACCGCAUGCGACCCUGAGUCGACGGACUUGGGGUGAAAGUGAGGGACCUUCGGGCCUCACGCGACCAGAUGAGCCGAUGUCGGAUAGCUAGUUGGCGGGGUAACGGCCCGCCAAGGCGACGAUCCGUAGCUGGUCUGAGAGGAUGAUCAGCCACACUGGGACUGAGACACGGCCCAGACUCCUACGGGAGGCAGCAGUGGGGAAUCUUGGACAAUGGGCGC
This 365-nucleotide ribosomal RNA is filed under the name uncultured bacterium. RNAcentral describes it as "bacterial SSU rRNA". It matches the Rfam family "Bacterial small subunit ribosomal RNA", at positions 30 to 378 of the family's 1533-position model. The record is from RNAcentral.